AGAGUUCGAUCCUGGCUCAGGAUGAACACUAGCAGUAUGCUUAACACAUGUAAGUCGGACAAGAAGUGGUGUUUCCAGUGGUGGACUGGUGAGUAAUGCGUAAGAACCUACCCUUGGGAGAGAAACAACAGCUGGAAAUGGCUGCUAAUACCCCGUAGGCUGAGGAGCAAAAGCAGGAAUCCACCUAAGGAGGGGCUUGUGUCUGAUUAGUUAGUUGGUGAGGCAAUAGCUUACCAAGGCAAUGAUUAGUAGCUAGUCUAAGAGGAUGAUAAGCGACACUGGGACUAAGACACGGCCCAGACUCCUACGAGAGACAGUAGUGGAGAAUUUUCCACAAUGGGCGAAAGCCUGACGGAGCAAUACUGUGUGGAGGUAGAAGGCCCAUGGGUCAUGAACUUCUUUUCCCGGAGAAGAAGCAAUGACAGUAACUGGGGAAUAAGCAUUGGCUAACUCUAUGCCAGCAGCCGCGGUAAGAUAGAAGAUGCAAGCGUUAUCCGGAAUGAUUUGGCGUAAAGCGUCUAUAGGUGCUUUUUAAGUCCACCUUCAAAUCCUGGGCUCAACCCUAGCUAGGUGGUGGAAACUACCAAAUAGGAGUAUGGUAGGGACAGAGGGAAUUUUUGGUGGAGCGGUGAAAUGCAUAGAGAUAAGAAAGAACACCAAUGGCGAAAUCACUUUAUUGGGCCAACACUAACACUAAGAGACAAAAGCUAGGGAAGCAUAUAGGAUUAGUUACCCCAGUAGUCCUAGUCGUAAAUGAUGGAUACUAGGCACUGUGAGUAUCGACCCUUGCAGUGUUGUAGCUGAUGCGUUAAGUAUCCUGCCUGGGGAGUAUGUUCGCAAGAAUGAAACUCAAAGGAAUUGAGGGAGGCCCACACAAGCGAUGGAGCGUGUGGUUUAGUUCGAUGUAAAGUGAAGAACGUUACUAGGGCUUGACAUGCCGCGAAUCUUCUUGAAAGAAAGGGGUGCCUUCGAGAAUGUGGACACAGGUGGUGCAUGGUUGGUGUCAGCUCGUACCAUAAGGUGUUUGGUUAAGUCCUGCAAUGAGCGCAACCCUCGUGUUUAGUUACCAUUGUUGAGUUUGGAACCCUGAAUAGACUAUCGAUGAUAAGCCGGAGGAAGGUGAGGAUGACGUUAAGUUAUCAUCUCCUUUAUGCUCUGGGCAACACAUGUGCUACAAUGGCCGGUACAAAGGGUCGCGAUCCCACGACGGUGAGCUAACCCCAAAAACCUAUCCUUAAUUUGGAUUGUAGGCUGCAACUUGUCUGCAUGAAGUUGGAAUUGCUAGUAAUUGCUGAUCAGCCAUAUGGCGAUGAAUUCGUUCUCGAGCCUUGUAUACACUGCCUGUCACAUUAUGGGAGCUGGCCAUGCCCAAAUUCGUUACCUUAACUGCAAGGAGGGAGAUGCCAAAGGUAGGGCUAGUAACUGGAGUGAAGUCAUAACAAGGUAGCCAUACUGGAAGGUGCGGUUG
This 1468-nucleotide ribosomal RNA is filed under the name Olea europaea var. sylvestris. RNAcentral's name for it is "bacterial SSU rRNA". It matches the Rfam family "Bacterial small subunit ribosomal RNA". Lineage: Eukaryota; Viridiplantae; Streptophyta; Magnoliopsida; Lamiales; Oleaceae. The record is from RNAcentral.